RNAcentral lists this ribosomal RNA (501 nucleotides) under uncultured bacterium. RNAcentral describes it as "partial 16S ribosomal RNA". It matches the Rfam family "Bacterial small subunit ribosomal RNA", at positions 30 to 523 of the family's 1533-position model. The record is from RNAcentral.
AUUGAACGCUGGCGGCAGGCUUAACACAUGCAAGUCGAGCGGAGAUGAGGUGCUUGCACCUUAUCUUAGCGGCGGACGGGUGAGUAAUGCUUAGGAAUCUGCCUAUUAGUGGGGGACAACAUUCCGAAAGGAAUGCUAAUACCGCAUACGUCCUACGGGAGAAAGCAGGGGAUCUUCGGACCUUGCGCUAAUAGAUGAGCCUAACUCGGAUUAGCUAGUUGGGGGGGGAAAGGCCUACCAAGGCGACGAUCUGUAGCGGGUCUGAGAGGAUGAACCGCCACACUGGGACUGAGACACGGCCCAGACUCCUACGGGAGGCAGCAGUGGGGAAUAUUGGACAAUGGGGGAAACCCUGAUCCAGCCAUGCCGCGUGUGUGAAGAAGGCCUUAUGGUUGUAAAGCACUUUAAGCGAGGAGGAGGCUACUGAGACUAAUACUCUUGGAUAGUGGACGUUACUCGCAGAAUAAGCACCGGCUAACUCUGUGCCAGCAGCCGCCGCAG